Molecule: ribosomal RNA, 111 nt
Filed under: Scophthalmus maximus (turbot)
Lineage: Eukaryota; Metazoa; Chordata; Actinopteri; Pleuronectiformes; Scophthalmidae
Source: RNAcentral
GCUUACGGCCACACCGCCUGGUUCACGCCCGAUCUCGUUUGAUCUCGGAAGCUAAGAUUGGGCCUGGUUAGUACUUGGGGGGACCGCCUGGGAAUCCAGGUGCUGUAAGCU